GACGAACGCUGGCGGCGUGCUUAACACAUGCAAGUCGAACGGAAAGGCCCUGCUUUUGUGGGGUGCUCGAGUGGCGAACGGGUGAGUAACACGUGAGUAACCUGCCCUUGACUUUGGGAUAACUUCAGGAAACUGGGGCUAAUGCCGGAUAGGAGCUCCUGCUGCAUGGUGGGGGUUGGAAAGUUUCGGCGGUUGGGGAUGGACUCGCGGCUUAUCAGCUUGUUGGUGGGGUAGUGGCUUACCAAGGCUUUGACGGGUAGCCGGCCUGAGAGGGUGACCGGCCACAUUGGGACUGAGAUACGGCCCAGACUCCUACGGGAGGCAGCAGUGGGGGAUAUUGCACAAUGGGCGGAAGCCUGAUGCAGCAACGCCGCGUGCGGGAUGACGGCCUUCGGGUUGUAAACCGCUUUCGCCUGUGACGAAGCGUGAGUGACGGUAAUGGGUAAAGAAGCACCGGCUAACUACGUG
RNAcentral lists this ribosomal RNA (468 nucleotides) under uncultured bacterium. Its description in RNAcentral is "partial 16S ribosomal RNA". It matches the Rfam family "Bacterial small subunit ribosomal RNA", at positions 28 to 507 of the family's 1533-position model. The record is from RNAcentral.